Molecule: ribosomal RNA, 1406 nt
Filed under: Enterococcus durans
Lineage: Bacteria; Bacillati; Bacillota; Bacilli; Lactobacillales; Enterococcaceae
Description: bacterial SSU rRNA
Rfam family: Bacterial small subunit ribosomal RNA
Source: RNAcentral
UCGUACGCUUCUUUUUCCCCGGAGCUUGCUCCACCGGAAAAAGAAGAGUGGCGAACGGGUGAGUAACACGUGGGUAACCUGCCCAUCAGAAGGGGAUAACACUUGGAAACAGGUGCUAAUACCGUAUAACAAUCGAAACCGCAUGGUUUUGAUUUGAAAGGCGCUUUCGGGUGUCGCUGAUGGAUGGACCCGCGGUGCAUUAGCUAGUUGGUGAGGUAACGGCUCACCAAGGCCACGAUGCAUAGCCGACCUGAGAGGGUGAUCGGCCACAUUGGGACUGAGACACGGCCCAAACUCCUACGGGAGGCAGCAGUAGGGAAUCUUCGGCAAUGGACGAAAGUCUGACCGAGCAACGCCGCGUGAGUGAAGAAGGUUUUCGGAUCGUAAAACUCUGUUGUUAGAGAAGAACAAGGAUGAGAGUAACUGUUCAUCCCUUGACGGUAUCUAACCAGAAAGCCACGGCUAACUACGUGCCAGCAGCCGCGGUAAUACGUAGGUGGCAAGCGUUGUCCGGAUUUAUUGGGCGUAAAGCGAGCGCAGGCGGUUUCUUAAGUCUGAUGUGAAAGCCCCCGGCUCAACCGGGGAGGGUCAUUGGAAACUGGGAGACUUGAGUGCAGAAGAGGAGAGUGGAAUUCCAUGUGUAGCGGUGAAAUGCGUAGAUAUAUGGAGGAACACCAGUGGCGAAGGCGGCUCUCUGGUCUGUAACUGACGCUGAGGCUCGAAAGCGUGGGGAGCAAACAGGAUUAGAUACCCUGGUAGUCCACGCCGUAAACGAUGAGUGCUAAGUGUUGGAGGGUUUCCGCCCUUCAGUGCUGCAGCUAACGCAUUAAGCACUCCGCCUGGGGAGUACGACCGCAAGGUUGAAACUCAAAGGAAUUGACGGGGGCCCGCACAAGCGGUGGAGCAUGUGGUUUAAUUCGAAGCAACGCGAAGAACCUUACCAGGUCUUGACAUCCUUUGACCACUCUAGAGAUAGAGCUUCCCCUUCGGGGGCAAAGUGACAGGUGGUGCAUGGUUGUCGUCAGCUCGUGUCGUGAGAUGUUGGGUUAAGUCCCGCAACGAGCGCAACCCUUAUUGUUAGUUGCCAUCAUUUAGUUGGGCACUCUAGCAAGACUGCCGGUGACAAACCGGAGGAAGGUGGGGAUGACGUCAAAUCAUCAUGCCCCUUAUGACCUGGGCUACACACGUGCUACAAUGGGAAGUACAACGAGUCGCGAAGUCGCGAGGCUAAGCUAAUCUCUUAAAGCUUCUCUCAGUUCGGAUUGUAGGCUGCAACUCGCCUACAUGAAGCCGGAAUCGCUAGUAAUCGCGGAUCAGCACGCCGCGGUGAAUACGUUCCCGGGCCUUGUACACACCGCCCGUCACACCACGAGAGUUUGUAACACCCGAAGUCGGUGAGGUAACCU